AAUUAAACAAAUCUAGAAAAUACUACAAGAAUUCAUUUGCUUUGCUUUGCUGGUUUCUCACAUAUCUCUUCCCUUCUUAUCACUUUGUAUCUCCCUCUCUUCUCUUCAAUCUUGCCUCUCCUCCCCGGUAAACAAGACAAAGAAGCUUCCUCCACGGCGCCCUGCCAAGGUCACCGCAACUUUCGCGUGCGCCUCACCCAGCCGAGGAGAAGCGUCAGAGAGCGUCGCCAUCUUGUGCGUUCCAGAGAGCGUCACCGUCUUCUGUGUUCCAGAGAGCAUCGUCAUCUUCCUGGCCGUCUUCCUCGUUUUUCAUCACCGUAGUCAGCCUCUCCCUUCUGGUCUUUUGCUGAUGGAUUUCCAAAUAUUUUUAUAGAAAAUGCAGAAGAGCUCCGAGGUCAACAUGUUGCUUUUCUGUGAGAAAGACUUUGAAUUCAGAACUGUGGCAUGCUUGUGCUAGCCCUCUUGUCUCUUUGCCUCAAGUGGGAAGUCUUGUUCAUUACUUUCCCCAGGAACAUAAUUGCAGCAUGGAAUUGGUUUAGGUCCUACGUACUGUUAAGGCUUUACAAACAUUGAAGAAGGCUUUGGGGCUUCCUCCCAGGUUUGGGUGGAAUGGUGAUCCUUGUGUUCCUCAACAACAUCCAUGGAUUGAAGCAGACUGCCAGCUAAACAAGAGUAGCAGCAAAUGGCUCAUUGAUGGACUGUAAUUUCUUAUUACCUUUAUUAGGUUUUUAUUAUACAUUUUGUUGUGCAGACCAUUUAGUGGCAUCUUAGCUUAAUGAUUACCUGCUUAUUCCAUGCAGUCUUUUCUUUCUUGUUACAAAACCAAAUACCAUUUCUUUUUUUCCCCUUUACCACAUAGCUCCCUAAGUAACAAAUUAGAAGCCAAUGGUUAUAGGUGUCUCUGCCCACAGAAAACUUGCAAUCAGAUCCUGUUAAUUUAUUUUGGUUUACAGACAAUGUUUUCCUAAAUCAUUUGGGAAGUUUAAGUUUUGGUUUGCUUUGCUUUUCUUUGGUUUAUGAAAACAUCCCUUUCUAUGUUCCCUUUUUGAAUGUCCAUAUCAACUCCACUCUGCACUUGACAAAGAAGUUUGUACCACUAGGGCAUGAAGCCAUUAUGUUCAUGUUGAAAACUCAAAAUGAAUAUUUAAUCUCAAUAUUAUUUGUUAUUUCAUGC
This is a long non-coding RNA of Arachis duranensis, 1174 nucleotides long. RefSeq lists it as uncharacterized. Lineage: Eukaryota; Viridiplantae; Streptophyta; Magnoliopsida; Fabales; Fabaceae. The record is from RefSeq and is a predicted model, not a curated record. The transcript is spliced from 4 exons.